Molecule: non-coding RNA, 21 nt
Filed under: Rattus norvegicus (Norway rat)
Lineage: Eukaryota; Metazoa; Chordata; Mammalia; Rodentia; Muridae
Source: RNAcentral
GUAGCACCUGACACGUGGGCC